Molecule: long non-coding RNA, 5127 nt
Filed under: Sus scrofa (pig)
Lineage: Eukaryota; Metazoa; Chordata; Mammalia; Artiodactyla; Suidae
Description: lncRNA (ENSSSCG00060042144.1)
Source: RNAcentral
AGCACCACACCCGUGGUAUAUGGAGGUUCCUAGACUAGGGGUCUAAUUGAAGUUACAGCUGCUGGCCCAUGCCACAGCCACAGCAACGCCAGAUCUGAGCCACAUCUGUGACACUACAGCUCAUUGCAACGCCAGAUCUUUAACCCACUGAGCAAGGCCAGGGAUCCAACCUGCAACCUCAUGGUUCCUAGUUGGAUUCGUUUCCAUUGUGCCAGGAGGGGAACUCCUCUUUUUUUUUUUUUUUUUUUUUUUUAAAUUGGGCAUUUUUUCCUUCAGUGGAAGAAUAUAGUUAGACAUUCAGAUCUAUAAAACUGGUAUUGAAUGUGUGGCAACAUUUUAUACCUAGAGGAUUACUCUGCAUGUGUUUGGGUAUUUAUACUCCCUGCCAUGUUCUCUCCCACCCACAUGGUCACUGGUAUCCCCCAGAGCAAUUCUUCCCUUCUUGAUCCUGUGCCAAAAGCAGAAAUACAAUGUCAGCAAAGCUGCUAGCCUGGAUUUGAGUCAGACAUAUUCAGAUUUGAGUUUGACGUGUAGAGUUGCCCAUCAUAUCAGACUAGUCUUGCAGGAAGAGAGAACAAAGGGGACUGGGUAAUAAAUGGUGAGGGACUGGGUGUCCACAAAAUGAGGAGGAGAAGAAAGACCUUUUAUCAAGGAGGCAGCUGAACAGAGUGGAGCAUGCUUCACUGAAGAGGUUGCUAUAAUGGAAUAUGACAAAGGAGCUGAGGUGCUAUAGAAACACAUAGGAGGGUCCUUAACACAGACAGGUGAUGUCAGGAAAGCCCUCCCAGCAGGAGUGAGCUCUGAAGGAAGGGUCUGACUCAGCCAGCAGCCUGCUGCAGGACCAAUUCAAGAAAUGGAUGGAAAAAAUCAGAGCCGGUUGAAUGAGCAAUAAAUAACACAGUAUGUCUGGAGCAUAAGGUCUAACAGGCAAAUGUGUUCAAGGGAAGGGAAGGUUGCUAAGAGAUGAAUCUGGCCAGUGUGCUGGACAAGGUCCCAAGACAACUUGAACUUGCUGUAUACGGAAAGUCAUUGAGGAUUAAAGACAGGAGGGGAAAGAGUCAGCCUUAUAAUUUAUCAAGGUUAUUCCUAUAAUAAGGUAAGGCAUACAUGGUUAAAAAGUAGAGAGGCUGCUAGGAAGUGAGUAGAACUGUUAUGUUGGCUUUCUUCACAUAGAAAACAAUGAGGGCUUGAAUUAGUGCAGCGCUGGUGUGGUGGGUGGCACAGGGAGGGGGCAAUGAUAAAUUUGAGAAACAUUCAUGAAAGAGUCAAACUGAAUAUGGAAAGAGGACCAUGAAGAGGAGAGGAAAGAAAUUCAAGCUGACCACCAUAUUUCUGAGAAAAAUGGGCAUUCACUAUACUGAUAAAAAGAUGUCAUAGGAGUUCCCACUGUGGUGCAGUGGGCUAAGAAUCCAACUGCAGUGGCUUGGGUUGUUGCUGAGAUGAGGGUUGAAUCCCCUGCUGGGUACAGUGGAUUAAAGUUUCCUGUGUUGCUGCAGCUGCAGUGUAGGUCACAGCUGUGGCUCAGAUUCAACCCAUGGCCCCGGGAACUUCCAUAUGCUGUGGGUGUGACCAUAAAAUUUAGAGAAUAAAAAGAUAUGGUACUACCCACUGAGGAAUGGAAUUUGGUAUCUACCUCACAGGACAAAUUAUGAUUCUCUUUCCCCAAUCCCACACCCAUCCAUCAACCAGAUACUUCUGCCCUACACUGCAGACACAGGGCACAAGUCAAGGACAGCAGACUGCAGUAUGUUCCAUGCCACAAAGUGUUUUGACCCCCCACCAAUAAUUCAUUAAGCCAAAUUGAGAUUCUGGUCUAUAACCAGUCAACUAUUCUUAAUUAUCUGCCUUCCUGUAGGAAAUAUGAAAAUUCAAACUGGUGUUAUUGCUACGUGAUCUUCUUUCUUUCUUUUUUUCGUGCUAGACUCAGUGAAGAAAUUCAAGGGUGUCUUUGGCUUGGGAAAUGAAAUUUACAGGCACAUGUGACAACUCAUUAAAUUAAAUACAUUGGUAAUACUGGGGUUUGACUGAAUCCGUCAGUUGGUUAAUUUUCACACUUUACUGAGAAGCAUCUAGACUAGAAUUAUACCAGAGGAAGCCAGAUAGUGGAUAUUGCCAUACAAGUUAUGUUAUUUCUUAUUUUGUUCAUACCUUAUAUUGCCAUCCUGCAUUACUCUGAGAUUAUGAACUAGUUUAAUUUCACAAAGUCAUAAACUAGAAGUACUAGUAUAUGUACUAGUACUAGUGUGUCUGUUCACCAGGUUAGAGAAUGAAAGAGAAAACUGCUGAAAGAAAAAAAUAGCAUCAAACCUUCUCUCUUGUGAAACCAUUGGUUUCUUUUGGCACCAUUCUUCCAUUUGCUAUGAAGCAGAAAGUGCCUGGACACAGGGGCUCCAGGACCUCUUGCUGUUUCUUGUUCCUGGGCUCCUUGGGCAGCCUCCUACCCCAUGGGCUGCCCCUGUCACCUUAAAUGUGGAAGUGGAUACUUCCUGAAACCCCACUUUGUCCCUAAACCCUUUCCCUCCCUCCCUCUCUUCCUCAUCCUCUCUAAUUGUCAAUUUCUUCCUUCUCAAUAUCCUACACUUUCAAACAAAGAUUGGAAAGACUGGGAGGAAGUGACAAUGGGUAGUUGCCUAGCAGUCUCUCUUCAGGGCUGUGAAAUAUCACUGGCCCCUGUGGUGCUGUGGGUUGAGGAAGCCACACUCAGAGCAAUAGGACUGGCCACCUGUGGGAAUGGCAGGGAGGAAACAACUUCUUCCAAACACUCUUUCUUCCCAAACACUGAGUGCAGGACACCAGUCAAUUUCCCACCAAUGUUCCUCUUGUAUAUAUACCUUUGUGUAUCUCUGGCUAGCUAGCUAAUUAGACAAGUACUGUCUCUUUUCACAUAUAUGUGAAAUCUAAAAGAUAAAACAAAUGAAUUAAUAUAACAAAAUAGAAACAGACUCAUACAGAGAACAAACUAGUAGUUGCCAAUGGGGAGAGAAGUAGUGGGGAGGGCAAGUUAGGGAAAGGGGAUUAGAGGUACAAACUAUUAUGUAUGAAAUAAAUGAGCAGGUGUUCCCGUUGUGGCGCAGUGGUUAAUGAAUCCGACUAGGAACCAUGAGAUUUCGGGUUCGAUCCCUGCCCUUCCUCAGUGGGUUAAUGAUCCGGCAUUGCCAUGAGCUGUGGUGUAGGUUGCAGAUGCAGCUCAGAUCCUGCAUUUCUGUGGCUCUGGUAGGCCGGCAGCUACAGCUCCGAUUAGACCCCUAGCCUGGGAACCUCCCAUAUGCUGCGGGAGCGGUCCAAGAAAUGGCAAAAAGACAAAAAAAAAAAAAAAAAAAAAAAAAAAAAGAAAUAAAUGAGCUACAAGGAUAUAUCGUACAGCACAAGGAAUAUAACCAAUAUUUUAUAACAACUUUAAAUGGAGUAUAAUCUAUAAAAAUAUUGUCACUGUAUUGUAUACCUGAAAAGAUACUAACAUUGUAAAUUAACUCUACUUCAAUUAAAAAAGUGGAUCUAGCAUGAUACUUAGAGAUAAAACCUAAGUGUAAUUCCAUAUCAGUUAUAUGUAAAAUGUUUGCACAAGACUUUGUCACUUUGUUAUUUUCUCUCCUGAAACCUCUUCUUGUCAAAUUCUUUCUUUAGUCCCACAGGCAUAGGUGAGAAAUCACGAGUGCCAAAUGAAUGGAGUUUUACUAUUCCUCUUGUUCAUUUCCAAUUCAUUCCCCAGAAUAAGUUCAAGCUUAAAUUUUAAAACCUUAUCUUUUUCUUCUUUACUCUUAAAAGAAAGUUCUUCAUGCAUUUUUAAAUUAAGAUUUUAAUAAUUGAGGGAAAAAAAAUAAAAAGCUUACCGUAUCACCCCUGCCUAUAUAUUCUAUAUAGAAUACAAAAAGCUUUCAUAAGAAGAUGUCUUUUUCCUUUUUCCUCUUUCCUGCCCAGUCCUUCUGUCAUCCAGUAGCCUGGGUCUGAGGUGGAUGUACUGUGAAUAGAAUGAAUUCUAAGCAUCAGAGCCCCUCAUUGGCUCUAAUCUCCUCCAAGUUCCAGUCAAGAGCUCCAGCAGGGAGUUUGCAUGGCCUGAUGUUUAAGUCUUCUGAAAUAAGUUAGUAUGACUCCAAGAGGCAUUACACCAUUUUUUAAAAUCCAUUCUGAAGUCCCCUGUCACAUUCUUCCUUGGGUUGCAUAAUUUUGAGUGGCCAGGGGCAUUUUGGGGACCUAGUUAAUGGCAGUUGAUUUGAGAAUACAUUUAGUUUGUGUUUUAUGAGCAGUAUUUAUGAGGUUCAUAGUCACUUGUAAGUACAAUUGUUUGAUUUCUUAUUUUAUUAUUUCUUUUUAUUUUAUUUUAUUAUUAUGAUUUAGGACACAAUCUGGCAUGUGGAAAUUCCUGGGCCAGGGAUUGAACCUAUACCAUAGGAGAGACCAGAGACACAGCAGUGACAACACCAGAUCCUUAACCUGCGGAGCCACACAGGAAUUACAACUGGGUGAUCUCCAGCUGUCCCAUGUAUCACAAGAAAUGUGAAUUUAUCUAAGAUUAAUCCAUGCACAAGAAAACUUGAGAGCUUUGGAGUGCAUAGGACAUGCCUCUCAGAACCAUCAGUCUGAAGGACGGGAGAGGCAGGGGCACUAAAGAGAGUGCUAACUUCCCUCCAUUCAACUGAGCUCCCAUGAGCCUCCUGGGCACAGGGCCUUCAGAAAAGCAGAGAGGGAUCCAGAGGCAAACAGCGUGCCCAGUUGCUCACCAAAACUGGGACUGAAAUCAGAGGUGGGCCUAAGAGAUGUGAUGUGAGAGAUGGAAAUAUUUCACCUCCAUUUCUUUGAUAAAGAAAUUGAUUCAGUCAGGUUAGCCAGUCCCCUAAGACUGCAUGAUACAUUGGUGACAGGAGUAAGAUUUCAAUUUCCAUUGUAUCCAAUGCCUCCUGGUGAGGGAGGCCAUCUAAGCCAAUGAGUCCUGCACACUUGGUCCUGUUCACUACCAUGAUAUGGCUGGCAUGGCUAAUGGGGAGGAUGAAGCCAACAUAAUGGUUAAGGACCAUGCUAGUAUUUUUCCAGUACCUGCUGUGUGGAGGUGAGUUGUUUGUUGCUUUUUGCUUGUAGAAAAGCAUAUUGAGCUUUAUGAACACAUCACUUAUUCACACAGACCCAUAAAAA